UCUGCCUUCAUUCACUGUUUCAAAAGACACAAUGCUCCCUCAGUCAGGUUUCUGAAAACACUUGACAGCAGUUCUCUUCAAUGGAAAACAUAUACAGUACUUCACAGCUUAGUGAAAUAGGUUGCACUGUUACUCAGUAUAAACAUUUCGUCUGACUUGGUUGUGACUUUAAUUGGGCCUUGAAUUUGGAAGGGAAUGCGGAAAGGCAUGAUUGCCAGUCAGGGCAACGUGUUUAUAAGCAUUUAAAAGGAAUCAUAAAAGAGCUGGAGAAAUAUGAGAGUCUGAGCCAGAGACUGGAGGAGGAGGCCCAAUGUCUGCAACUCUGCGAGCCCAGGAUUCUUUUGAAGACCCUGAACCGGAGUUACACACUGACUAUGGUUCUCUGCGGGAAUGGGACCCAUUCUCGGGUUUCACGACUGGCCGUUGUUCGGCACGCCAAGAGCUCGGCCUAAGAGUUCGGCUCACCUUUGUAGGCCUAGGGUCUUGUGGCUCUGAAGAUGGACGGAUCAAAGGUUGCUGUCACAGCAGGUGAUCCAUGCGUCUUCGAGGGAGUCAGAAAAUCUACGGCUGUCUGCCCAGAGACCCAAGAUCUUUGGGCACAGAGCUCAGAAAAAGCAACGCAAUGGACUUUUAACACUGUAAACCAGUGAGUUGUUAGUUAUGUCUCCUCUCUCAUUGUGAAACAGAGACAUCACUUUCUCCCUUAUUAGGGAGAGAGAGAGAGCCCAUGGUAUGUCGAAUGCCGGGUGAAAUGCAAAGUCUUUGGAAAACUGCAAGUCUGUGCCUUUACUGUUCCUUCGCUCAGGCUUGAGUGCUUGUUGGCGGGUGCUUUUUUUGCCGGUGGGGGGGAGGGUCAAUUGUUGCUUGCUGCCGCUCACGCGAGGGAGGGAGAGAAGUUGGGGGUAGGGGACUUUGGGAUCCUACCAUAUAAGCGUCAUCCAUUCUUUGGGGCACUCCUCUGUUUUCGUGGAUGGUUGCAAAGAAAAAGCUUUUCAGGAUGUAUAUUGUAUACAUUUCUCUGACAUUAAAUGUACCUUUGAAACCUUC
Molecule: long non-coding RNA, 1047 nt
Organism: Hypanus sabinus (Atlantic stingray)
Lineage: Eukaryota; Metazoa; Chordata; Chondrichthyes; Myliobatiformes; Dasyatidae
Exons: 2
Source: RefSeq, a predicted model, not a curated record